This 454-nucleotide ribosomal RNA is filed under the name uncultured Acholeplasma sp. Its description in RNAcentral is "bacterial SSU rRNA". It matches the Rfam family "Bacterial small subunit ribosomal RNA", at positions 924 to 1382 of the family's 1533-position model. Lineage: Bacteria; Bacillati; Mycoplasmatota; Mollicutes; Acholeplasmatales; Acholeplasmataceae. The record is from RNAcentral.
CACAAGCGGUGGAUCAUGUUGUUUAAUUCGACGAUACGCGAAGAACCUUACCAGGUCUUGACAUCCCCUGCAAAGCUAUGGAGACAUAGUGGAGGUUAUCAGGGAGACAGGUGGUGCAUGGUUGUCGUCAGCUCGUGUCGUGAGAUGUUGGGUUAAGUCCCGCAACGAGCGCAACCCUUAUUGCUAGUUACCAUCAUUAAGUUGGGGACUCUAGCGAGACUGCCAGUGAUAAACUGGAGGAAGGUGGGGGAUGACGUCAAAUCAUCAUGCCCCUUAUGACCUGGGCUACAAACGUGAUACAAUGGCUGAAACAAAGGGCAGCGAAGGAGCGAUCUGGAGCGAAACCCAAAAAAGCAGUCUCAGUUCGGAUUGAAGUCUGCAACUCGACUUCAUGAAGUCGGAAUCGCUAGUAAUCGCGGAUCAGAACGCCGCGGUGAAUACGUUCUCGGGGUUU